GCGGGCGUAGUUCAAUGGCAGAACACGAGCUUCCCAAGCUCGGAGUGAGGGUUCGAUUCCCUUCGCCCGCUCGA
RNAcentral lists this transfer RNA (74 nucleotides) under Actinobacteria bacterium RBG_16_68_21. RNAcentral describes it as "tRNA-Gly". It matches the Rfam family "tRNA". Rfam says of the family: Transfer RNA (tRNA) molecules are approximately 80 nucleotides in length. Their secondary structure includes four short double-helical elements and three loops (D, anti-codon, and T loops). Lineage: Bacteria; Bacillati; Actinomycetota. The record is from RNAcentral.